This is a long non-coding RNA of Oncorhynchus tshawytscha (Chinook salmon), 589 nucleotides long. The record is from Ensembl. Lineage: Eukaryota; Metazoa; Chordata; Actinopteri; Salmoniformes; Salmonidae.
GGGGGGCUUUCAUCAAGGUUAGUGUUUCUGUAGGUUGGGGGCUUUCAUCAACGUUAGUGUUUCUGUAGGUUGGGGGCUUUCAUCAAGGUGUUUCUAUAGGUUGGGGGAUUUCAUCAAGGUUAGUGUUUCUGUAGGUUGGGGGCUUUCAUCAAGGUGUUUCUAUAGGUUGGGGGCUUUCAUCAAGGUUAGUGUUUCUAUAGGUUGUGGGCUUUCAUCAAGGUGUUUCUGUGGGUUGGUGGCUUUCAUCAAGGUGUUUCUGUAUGUUGGUGGCUUCCAUCAAGGUGUUUCUGUAGGUUGGGGGCUUUCAUCAAGGUGUUUCUAUAGGUUGGGGGCUUUCAUCAAGGUGUUUCUAUAGGUUCGGGGCUUUCAUCAAGGUGUUUCUAUAGGUUGGGGGCUUUCAUCAAGGUGUUUCUGUAGGUUGGGGGCUUUUAUCAAGGUGUUUCUAUAGGUUGGGGGCUUUCAUCAAGGUGUUUCUGUAGGUUGGGGGCUUUCAUCAAGGUUAGUGUUUCUAUAGGUUGGGGGCUUUCAUCAAGGUGUUUCUGUAGGUUGGGUGCUUUCAUCAAGGUGUUUCUAUAGGUUGGGUGCUUUU